AUCACCGAGAGCUCCAUGCAGGUUGUGCCAUUCCAUCCUCCAACACGUCUAUGUACUUCCGUAGCCACGGAAAGGGAUGUUGCCCUUACUUCGCAUCAUGUGCUCAUGAAGUUAAUAAGGAAGUAAAAGAUUUCAAGAAUCUUGUUAGCAUCGUGCUGGGGGAUACCAGCGGGUCUUGGAAAAGAAGAAGCCUUUGCUUUCUACAGUGUCGUGAUGCAGGAUGCCUGCAACAACUCCAAGUCUGAACUAGCAGCGGCUCACCAAGACGUUAAAGGAUCUCCAUGGCUGUACCCAUCGCAUGAAAGACCCGUGCAGAACAGCAGAUUUUAAUUAGAAUUGGGAAAGAGCAUUUCUGUUUAAGUAAAAUGAAAACACAGGUG
Long non-coding RNA from Canis lupus familiaris (dog), 380 nucleotides. RefSeq lists it as uncharacterized. Lineage: Eukaryota; Metazoa; Chordata; Mammalia; Carnivora; Canidae. The record is from RefSeq and is a predicted model, not a curated record. The transcript has 3 exons.